This 246-nucleotide ribosomal RNA is filed under the name uncultured Lactobacillus sp. RNAcentral's name for it is "partial 16S ribosomal RNA". It matches the Rfam family "Bacterial small subunit ribosomal RNA", at positions 116 to 355 of the family's 1533-position model. Lineage: Bacteria; Bacillati; Bacillota; Bacilli; Lactobacillales; Lactobacillaceae. The record is from RNAcentral.
CGUGGGUAACCUGCCCAAGAGAUCGGGAUAACACCUGGAAACAGAUGCUAAUACCGGAUAACAACAGAUGAUGCCUAUCAACUGUUUAAAAGAUGGUUCUGCUAUCACUCUUGGAUGGACCUGCGGUGCAUUAGCUAGUUGGUAGGGUAACGGCCUACCAAGGCGAUGGUGCAUAGCCGAGUUGAGAGACUGAUCGGCCACAUUGGGACUGAGACACGGCCCAAACUCCUACGGGAGGCAGCAGCA